RNAcentral lists this ribosomal RNA (332 nucleotides) under uncultured eukaryote. RNAcentral's name for it is "partial 18S ribosomal RNA". It matches the Rfam family "Eukaryotic small subunit ribosomal RNA", at positions 1470 to 1796 of the family's 1831-position model. The record is from RNAcentral.
CCCUUAGAUGUUCUGGGCUGCACACGUGCUACACUGGCAGGUUCAGCGAGCUUCAUGCCCUGAUCUGAAAGGAAUGGGAAAUCUUUUCAAAACCUGCCGUGCUUGGGAUAGAUGUUUGCAAUUAUUCAUCUUCAACGAGGAUUGCCUUGUAAGCGCACGUCAUCAGCGUGCAUUGAAUACGACCCUAUAUUCUGUACACACCGCCCGUCGCUCCUACCGAUUGAAGUUUUCGGUGAGUUGACAGGAGGAUUUUUUUGAAACUGGUUCGCCAGUGGAUUUUAGAUCCAAAUGCCAACGAAUCGAUGGCUUUAGAGGAAGGAGAAGUCGUAACA